This 468-nucleotide ribosomal RNA is filed under the name uncultured bacterium. RNAcentral describes it as "partial 16S ribosomal RNA". It matches the Rfam family "Bacterial small subunit ribosomal RNA", at positions 28 to 507 of the family's 1533-position model. The record is from RNAcentral.
GACGAACGCUGGCGGCGUGCUUAACACAUGCCAGUCGAACGGAAAGGCCCUGCUUUUGUGGGGUGCUCGAGUGGCGAACGGGUGAGUAACACGUGAGUAACCUGCCCUUGACUUUGGGAUAACUUCAGGAAACUGGGGCUAAUACCGGAUAGGAGCUCCUGCUGCAUGGUGGGGGUUGGAAAGUUUCGGCGGGUGGGGAUGGACUCGCGGCUUAUCAGCUUGUUGGUGGGGUAGUGGCUUACCAAGGCUUUGACGGGUAGCCGGCCUGAGAGGGUGGCCGGGCACAAUGGGACUGAGAUACGGCCCAGACUCCGACGGGAGGCAGCAGGGGGGAAUAUUGCACAAUGGGCGGAAGCCUGAUGCAGCAACGCCGCGUGCGGGAUGACGGCCUUCGGGUUGUAAACCGCUUUCGCCUGUGACGAAGCGUGAGUGACGGUAAUGGGUAAAGAAGCACCGGCUAACUACGUG